RNAcentral lists this long non-coding RNA (575 nucleotides) under Homo sapiens (human). Its description in RNAcentral is "non-protein coding lnc-DOCK8-6:4". Lineage: Eukaryota; Metazoa; Chordata; Mammalia; Primates; Hominidae. The record is from RNAcentral.
UAAUUAAAAUACAUGUGUAUGCCUUUUUAGAUAAAUUCCAUCAGACCAGUUUCUGUCUGGUUGGAAAAUAAUAACUGCCUAUUUGCUAAGUGCCCCUGCCCAAGCUAUCAUUCACAUCUUUUUCAUACUACAUAUAAAUUUAUAUCCUUUAUUUUAGUUAGUACAAACUUAAAAAGAGAAAGUAAAAGUCAAAUGCUUCUACGACUUCAGACUAAGAAAAAGAACUUUUGAGGUUGAAUGUUCCUGAAAUUUUUCUUUUCAUGCAACUACGGACAUGACUUCAAAAGUUGAUGUUACUAAAAAUGUAAGAUAUGAAAGAUAUUUGAAGACUCAGAGAAGGUGGAUUUUCAUUUUAACAAGUCACAUAUAUAUUCUAGAUAUCCUCUUAUUCGUAACUAAGAGAGUCAAAUCAGAUGAAAGAAUCUAAAAAUUUCCCUUUGACUGUGUUAAGUAGAAGUAGUAGAGGCAUAUUGGCCAAAUCUUGAGUGUUUGCAAAUUGACUCUUAAGGCUAUAGGCUGGCACAGGUCAUUGAAGCCCUAGCUUUUUAUCUUUAAUUUUAAAAUCCCCAAACAAU